This 451-nucleotide ribosomal RNA is filed under the name uncultured bacterium. RNAcentral describes it as "bacterial SSU rRNA". It matches the Rfam family "Bacterial small subunit ribosomal RNA", at positions 354 to 796 of the family's 1533-position model. The record is from RNAcentral.
GUGGGGAAUAUUGGACAAUGGGCGAAAGCCUGAUCCAGCCAUGCCGCGUGUGUGAAGAAGGCCUUUUGGUUGUAAAGCACUUUAAGCGAGGAGGAGGCUACCGAGAUUAAUACUCUUGGAUAGUGGACGUUACUCGCAGAAUAAGCACCGGCUAACUCUGUGCCAGCAGCCGCGGUAAUACAGAGGGUGCAAGCGUUAAUCGGAUUUACUGGGCGUAAAGCGCGCGUAGGUGGCCAAUUAAGUCAAAUGUGAAAUCCCCGAGCUUAACUUGGGAACUGCAUUCGAUACUGGUUGGCUAGAGUAUGGGAGAGGAUGGUAGAAUUCCAGGUGUAGCGGUGAAAUGCGUAGAGAUCUGGAGGAAUACCGAUGGCGAAGGCAGCCAUCUGGCCUAAUACUGACACUGAGGUGCGAAAGCAUGGGGAGCAAACAGGAUUAGAAACCCGUGUAGUCC